UCUAUAAGCCACCCAAUCCAUGUUAUUCUGUAAUAGCAACCCAAACAGACUAAGGCUAGUCAAUGAAUUUUAGUAAAUAUACAGAGUUGUGCUACUAACACCAGAAUAUGCUAUAGAACAUUUCUCUCACCGCACAAAGAAACAUUGUUGCAAAUGAGCAAAUAUACUUGCGAUACACCACUUUGAAAGACUUCUUUUUAUCAUAAUGGUGUUUGUGAGAGCGGCGAGGAGAAGAGAAGGAGAUGGACAUCUGAAAAUGAAGCUGAUGGAUUAAAGUGCUUAUUACAUUCAUAAGUUCUUUUUGCUUAGACCUUUGUGCUAGAAGAUUAAUUUUAGGACCCUGAAUAUACCUUUCCAAAUUCG
Long non-coding RNA from Suricata suricatta (meerkat), 363 nucleotides. RefSeq lists it as uncharacterized. The transcript is spliced from 2 exons. Lineage: Eukaryota; Metazoa; Chordata; Mammalia; Carnivora; Herpestidae. The record is from RefSeq and is a predicted model, not a curated record.